Molecule: ribosomal RNA, 82 nt
Filed under: Gammaproteobacteria bacterium
Lineage: Bacteria; Pseudomonadati; Pseudomonadota; Gammaproteobacteria
Description: partial 16S ribosomal RNA
Rfam family: Bacterial small subunit ribosomal RNA
Source: RNAcentral
GAUUGAACUGAAGAGUUUGAUCCUGGCUCAGAUUGAACGCUGGCGGCAUGCCUAACACAUGCAAGUCGAACGGAAACGAUGG